UGGGGGAUAUUGCACAAUGGGGGAAAUCCUGAUGCAGCGACGCCGCGUGGGUGAAGAAGCGCCUCGGCGCGUAAAGCCCUGUCAGCAGGGAAGAAAAUGACGGUACCUGAAGAAGAAGCCCCGGCUAACUACGUGCC
RNAcentral lists this ribosomal RNA (137 nucleotides) under uncultured bacterium. Its description in RNAcentral is "partial 16S ribosomal RNA". It matches the Rfam family "Bacterial small subunit ribosomal RNA", at positions 355 to 509 of the family's 1533-position model. The record is from RNAcentral.